This 798-nucleotide ribosomal RNA is filed under the name uncultured Pelagibacteraceae bacterium. RNAcentral's name for it is "bacterial SSU rRNA". It matches the Rfam family "Bacterial small subunit ribosomal RNA", at positions 40 to 886 of the family's 1533-position model. Lineage: Bacteria; Pseudomonadati; Pseudomonadota; Alphaproteobacteria; Candidatus Pelagibacterales; Candidatus Pelagibacteraceae. The record is from RNAcentral.
CGGCACGCCUAACACAUGCAAGUCGAACGAAGUAGCAAUACUUAGUGGCAGACGGGUGAGUAACAUGUAGGUAUCUGCCCUUUGGCCUGGAAUAACACGAGGAAACUUGUGCUAAUACUGGAUAAGUCUUUACGGAGAAAGCUUUAUGCACCAUUGGAUGAGCCUGCACUUGAUUAGUUUGUUGGUAGGGUAAUGGCCUACCAAGACUGUGAUCAAUAGCUGAUUUGAGAGGAUGAUCAGCCACAUUGGGACUGAGACACGGCCCAAACUCCUACGGGAGGCAGCAGUGGGGAAUCUUGCACAAUGGAGGAAACUCUGAUGCAGCGAUGCCGCGUGAGUGAAGAAGGCCUUUGGGUUGUAAAGCUCUUUCGUCGGGGAAGAAAAUGACUGUACCCGAAUAAGAAGGUCCGGCUAACUUCGUGCCAGCAGCCGCGGUAAUACGAAGGGACCUAGCGUAGUUCGGAAUUACUGGGCUUAAAGAGUUCGUAGGUGGUUGAAAAAGUUGGUGGUGAAAUCCCAGAGCUUAACUCUGGAACUGCCAUCAAAACUUUUCAGCUAGAGUAUGAUAGAGGAAAGCAGAAUUUCUAGUGUAGAGGUGAAAUUCGUAGAUAUUAGAAAGAAUACCAAUUGCGAAGGCAGCUUUCUGGAUCAUUACUGACACUGAGGAACGAAAGCAUGGGUAGCGAAGAGGAUUAGAUACCCUCGUAGUCCAUGCCGUAAACGAUGUGUGUUAGACGUUGGAAAUUUAUUUUCAGUGUCGCAGCGAAAGCGAUAAACACACCGCCUGGGGAGUACGAC